RNAcentral lists this ribosomal RNA (139 nucleotides) under uncultured bacterium. RNAcentral describes it as "partial 16S ribosomal RNA". It matches the Rfam family "Bacterial small subunit ribosomal RNA", at positions 355 to 509 of the family's 1533-position model. The record is from RNAcentral.
UGGGGAAUAUUGGGCAAUGGGCGCAAGCCUGACCCAGCAACGCCGCGUGAAGGAAGAAGGCUUUCGGGUUGUAAACUUCUUUUAAGGGGGACGAACAAAUGACGGUACCCCUUGAAUAAGCCACGGCUAACUACGUGCC